Molecule: long non-coding RNA, 888 nt
Filed under: Homo sapiens (human)
Lineage: Eukaryota; Metazoa; Chordata; Mammalia; Primates; Hominidae
Description: non-protein coding lnc-GOLGA8O-9:1
Source: RNAcentral
CCAAGUGUGUUUGCUGUGCGGCUGACAGCCUGACUCCCGGGUCCUGUUGCUCUCUGUCCUGUAAAUUAAGAGCAGAUGGAGUGGAUAAACUGAGAGCGCAGGAGAAGGUAACACAAGUCAGAACUUCCACCAAGGGCAUUACUGAGACAUGGAGAACGUUGAUAAUUCUCUGGAUGGCAGUGAUGUGUCAGAACCAGCAAAACCAGAAGCCGGACUUGAAGUGGCUCAGUCGAUCCUGACCUGACCACAGCCUGACUGAGCAGGAUGACAGGACUCCUGGCAGACUUCAAGCUGUCUGGCCACCCCCAAAGACAAAAGACACAGAAGAAAAAGUGGGACUGAAGUACACUGAAGCAGGUAAUGUGAAAGGAAGCUAGGGACCCGGGAAUGAAUCUCUUCCUGCAAUGGCUUUUAGUUCUAGCUUAGUUGACUCUCAGAAUUUGGGGUUUUAUUUCAUUAUAAAAUGUAAUGCUGAAGGGUUUCUUUUUGGUUUUGCUGUUAAAGUGAACCUUUGCACACUUAUUGUUAACGAGCCUCUGAAAGAUGAAAGAUGAAUGCAGUGGAAUGAAUGAAAGGGGGAAUGUGUGUGAAGUAGGAGAACCUUGGGGGACCUGAUGGAGAAGGUAGAUUGCAAAUCCCUCAGGAAGCCGGUGGUUGGUCCUCAUACAAUUUUGUGAGCUGGCAGUGUUGCUAGAAGAGGCAGAGUAUGGUUCUCUAGAGCUGUAAUCUGAUUUGUUGUUUGUCUUCGAGUAAUGCUUUUGAGAUAAAGGAACCUUGUGCAGAGUGAAUGUACAGAUACCGUAUCAGUUACUCGUUCACUUUUGUGAGACAAAGCUUUAUUUAAUGCAUGGCCAACUUUAAAGCAACCUAACUCUCUGGAAACCUGCC